ACGCUAGCUACAGGCUUAACACAUGCAAGUCGUGGGGCAGCGGAUACUUAGCUUGCUAAGUAUGCCGGCGACCGGCGCACGGGUGAGUAACGCGUACCGAACCUGCCCAUCACACAGGGAUAGGCUUGCGAAAGCAAGAUUAAUACCUGAUGGUCUCAAUUUUAUGCAUGUAAGAUUGAGUAAAGCCUUCGGGCGGUGAUGGAUGGCGGUGCGUCCCAUUAGGAAGUUGGCGGGGUAACGGCCCACCAAUCCUUCGAUGGGUAGGGGUUCUGAGAGGAAGGUCCCCCACAUUGGAACUGAGAUACGGUCCAAACUCCUACGGGAGGCAGCAGUGAGGAAUAUUGGUCAAUGGGCGAGAGCCUGAACCAGCCAAGUAGCGUGCGGGAUGAAGGCCCUUGUGGUCGUAAACCGCUUUUAUCAGUGAAUAAAGUGCAUCACGUGUGGUGUCAUUGCAGGUAGCUGAAGAAAAAGGACCGGCUAAUUCCGUGCCAGCAGCCGCGGUAAUACGGAAGGUCCGGGCGUUAUCCGGAAUUAUUGGGUUUAAAGGGAGCGCAGGCGGGAGUGUAAGUCAGCUGUUAAAUAUCAGGGCCCAACUCUGUUAUGCAGUUGAAACUAUAUUUCUUGAGUACGCACAGGGAUGGCGGAAUUCAGGGUGUAGCGGUGAAAUGCUUAGAUAUCCUGAAGAACUCCGAUCGCGAAGGCAGCCAUCCGGAGCGUAACUGACGCUGAGGCUCGAAGGUGCGGGUAUCAAACAGGAUUAGAUACCCUGGUAGUCCGCACGGUAAACGAUGAAUACUCGCAGUUCGGUCUUUAUGGUCGAGCUGUCCAGCGAAAGCGUUAAGUAUUCCACCUGGGGAGUACGCCGGCAACGGUGAAACUCAAAGGAAUUGACGGGGGCCCGCGACAAGC
This 909-nucleotide ribosomal RNA is filed under the name uncultured bacterium. RNAcentral's name for it is "bacterial SSU rRNA". It matches the Rfam family "Bacterial small subunit ribosomal RNA", at positions 33 to 930 of the family's 1533-position model. The record is from RNAcentral.